Molecule: ribosomal RNA, 200 nt
Filed under: uncultured eukaryote
Lineage: Eukaryota
Description: partial 18S ribosomal RNA
Rfam family: Eukaryotic small subunit ribosomal RNA
Source: RNAcentral
GCUCCAAUAGCGUAUAUUUAAGUUGUUGCAGUUAAAAAGCUCGUAGUUGGAUUUCGGAUGAAUGCGACCGGUCCGCCGUUUCGGUGUGUACUGGUUACGUUUAUCUUGCUGUCGGGGACGCGCUCCUGGCCUUAACUGGCUGGGACGUGGAGUCGGCGAAGUUACUUUGAAAAAAUUAGAGUGUUCAAAGCAGGCCUACG